This 82-nucleotide transfer RNA is filed under the name Candidatus Woesebacteria bacterium GW2011_GWF1_31_35. RNAcentral describes it as "tRNA-Leu". It matches the Rfam family "tRNA". From Rfam's summary of the family: Transfer RNA (tRNA) molecules are approximately 80 nucleotides in length. Their secondary structure includes four short double-helical elements and three loops (D, anti-codon, and T loops). RNAcentral also lists the same sequence under 1 other name. Lineage: Bacteria; Candidatus Woeseibacteriota. The record is from RNAcentral.
GCGGGGAUGGCGAAAUUGGUAGACGCGUACGCUUAAGGAGCGUAUGGAGUAAUCUUUGCAGGUUCAAGUCCUGUUCCCCGCA